UGAGGAAUAUUGGUCAAUGGGCGAGAGCCUGAACCAGCCAAGUCGCGUGAAGGAUGAAGGUUCUAUGGAUUGUAAACUUCUUUUGUCCGAGGGUAAAGUGUGCCACGUGUGGUAUAUUGCAAGUAUCGGACGAAUAAGCAUCGGCUAACUCCGUGCCAGCAGCCGCGGUAAUACGGAGGAUGCGAGCGUUAUCCGGAUUUAUUGGGUUUAAAGGGUGCGUAGGCGGGUGAUUAAGUCAGUGGUGAAAUCGUGUGGCUCAACCAUACAGUUGCCGUUGAUACUGGUUGCCUUGAGUACAGUUGAGGCAGGCGGAAUGUGAUGUGUAGCGGUGAAAUGCUUAGAUAUGUCACAGAACCCCGAUUGCGAAGGCAGCUUGCCAAGCUGUAACUGACGCUGAGGCACGAAAGCGUGGGUAUCAAACAGGA
Molecule: ribosomal RNA, 425 nt
Filed under: uncultured bacterium
Lineage: Bacteria
Description: bacterial SSU rRNA
Rfam family: Bacterial small subunit ribosomal RNA
Source: RNAcentral